GGAUCAUUGUCGAAAUCGAACGGAAGAACGACCCGCGAAUCGUCAUUGCGUAGUAGACAGAGCCCGUGAGCACCUAACGCUCACGGGUCUCGCGUCGCGUCGGCGCGGGUGUACUCGAGACCCGCGUCGUACCGGCGGACAAACAACGUCAGCACGGAUCGUGCCAAGGAGCAGCAUGGAGAGAAUCGUCGUCCCACGCCUUUGAUAGUCCUCGACGCGGGACGGGGGAUGUACGCAAUCUCUACUCAAAAGUCUAAACGACUCUCGGCAACGGAUAUCUCGGCUCUUGCAUCGAUGAAGAACGUAGCGAAAUGCGAUACUUGGUGUGAAUUGCAGAAUCCCGUGAACCAUCAAUUCUUUGAACGCAAGUUGCGCCCGAAGCCAUUCGGCCGAGGGCACGCCUGCCUGGGCGUCGUGAAUCCCCUUGCCCCUAGGCACCCGCAUGAGCAUUGGCGGGGACAUAUGCUCGGGCGCAGAAUAUGGUCUCCCGUGGGAUCGGCAUGCACGGCAUGUCGAGGUGCGGUUGGCCGAAAAUCGAGCAUGGCGGUGACGGGCACCACGGCGUUCGGUGGAUCGAAUGAGAUUGGCUGCGUCGUGGGCUCGGCAUGCGGCGGGCUCCGGACUUUGAAUAUCCCCGAGUGCGAUCCCAGGUCAGGCGGGGCUACCCGCUGAGUUUAAGCAUAUCAAUAAGCGGAGGAAAAGAAACUAACGAGGAUUCCCUUAGUAGCGGC
This is a ribosomal RNA of 731 nucleotides. The stretch from base 260 to 415 matches the Rfam family "5.8S ribosomal RNA".